GAUGAAGAACGUAGCGAAAUGCGAUACGCAAUGUGAAUUGCAGAAUUCAGUGAAUCAUCGAAUCUUUGAACGCAUAUUGCGCUCUCUGGUAUUCCGGAGAGCAUGCUUGUUUGAGUAUCAGUAAACACCUCAACUUCCAUAUCUUUUUUUGAAAUGGGAGUUGGACUUGAGUGAUCCCAACGCUUUUCCUCACCGAAAAGUGGCGGGUUACUUGAAAUGCAGGUGCAGCUGGACUUUUCUCUGAGCUAUAAGCAUAUCUAUUUAGUCUGCCUAAAAAACAGAUUAUUACCUUUGCUGCAGCUAACAUAAAGGAGAUUAGUUCUUGUGCUGACUGAUGCAGGAUUCACAAAGACAGCUUCGGCCGACUUUGUAAACUCGAUCUCAAAUCAAGUAAGACUACCCGCUGAACUUAAGCAUAUCAAUAAGCGGAGGA
This 433-nucleotide unclassified non-coding RNA is filed under the name soil metagenome. Its description in RNAcentral is "partial contains 5.8S ribosomal RNA, internal transcribed spacer 2, and large subunit ribosomal RNA". The stretch from base 1 to 120 matches the Rfam family "5.8S ribosomal RNA", at positions 35 to 154 of the family's 154-position model. The record is from RNAcentral.